RNAcentral lists this ribosomal RNA (482 nucleotides) under uncultured bacterium. RNAcentral describes it as "partial 16S ribosomal RNA". It matches the Rfam family "Bacterial small subunit ribosomal RNA", at positions 30 to 507 of the family's 1533-position model. The record is from RNAcentral.
AUUGAACGCUGGCGGCAUGCUUUACACAUGCAAGUCGAACGGCAGCGCGGGGCAACCUGGCGGCGAGUGGCGAACGGGUGAGUAAUAUAUCGGAACGUACCCAGAAGUGGGGGAUAACGUAGCGAAAGUUACGCUAAUACCGCAUACGAUCUACGGAUGAAAGUAGGGGACCGCAAGGCCUUAUGCUUUUGGAGCGGCCGAUAUCUGAUUAGCUAGUUGGUGAGGUAAAGGCUCACCAAGGCGACGAUCAGUAGCUGGUCUGAGAGGACGACCAGCCACACUGGAACUGAGACACGGUCCAGACUCCUACGGGAGGCAGCAGUGGGGAAUUUUGGACAAUGGGCGCAAGCCUGAUCCAGCGAUGCCGCGUGAGUGAAGAAGGCCUUCGGGUUGUAAAGCUCUUUUGUCAGGGAAGAAACGGUAGAGGCUAAUAUCCUUUGCUAAUGACGGUACCUGAAGAAUAAGCACCGGCUAACUACGUG